Molecule: ribosomal RNA, 1207 nt
Filed under: Salmonella enterica subsp. enterica
Lineage: Bacteria; Pseudomonadati; Pseudomonadota; Gammaproteobacteria; Enterobacterales; Enterobacteriaceae
Description: 16S ribosomal RNA
Rfam family: Bacterial small subunit ribosomal RNA
Source: RNAcentral
UUAAGUGAAAGUUUGAUCAUGGCUCAGAUUGAACGCUGGCAUGACUGGCAUACCGUCGAACGGUAACAGGAAGCAGCUUGCUGCUUCGCUGACGAGCGGACGGGUGGUAAUGUCUGAAACUGCCUGAUGGAGGGGUGCUACUGGAAACAUUGGCUAAUACCACGCAUAACUCGCAAGAUAAAGAAGCCUUCGGGCCUCUUGCCAUCGGAAAAUGUGCCCAGAUAGGAUUGCUUGUUGGUAGUGGCACGGCUCACCGGGCGACGAUCUGGCAGUGCGAAGCCAGCACACUGGAACUGGGAACACGGUCGAACUCACAGGGGAGGCGGCAGUGCGUGGACGGACGGAUAUACUGCAUUCGAAAACUGGCGGAAAAGCGAGUGCUUAGCAGGGGUAGAAUUCGGGUGUAGCAUUUGAAAUGCGUAGAUCUGGAGAAUACCAUUGGCGGCCUGAACAAAAGACGACGCUCAGGUGCGAAAGCGUGAGGGAGCAGAAGCAGGAUUAGAUACCGCAGUCACGCCGUAAACGAUACCGCCAGGUUGCCCUUGAGGCGUGGCUUCCCGGAGCUAACGCGUUAAGUAGACCGCACGGGAGUACGACGCAGGUUAAAACUCCAAAUGAAUUGACGGGGGCCCGCACAAGCGGUGGAGCAUGUCGGUUUAAUUGAUGCAACGCGAAAAGAACCUUACACGAAUGUAUCCCACAGGCGCAGAAUGGUUUACAAUUGCCUUCAGGAACUGUGAGACAGGUGCUGCAUGGCGCAAUGGAAAUCGCUCGUGUUGAAAAUGUUGAGGUUAGAAUCCCGCAACGAGCGCAACCCUUAUCGCUGUUAACGGUCGGCCGGGAACAAGGGCUGCCAGUGAUAAACUGGAGGAAGGUGAGGAUGACGUCUGAAGUCAUCAUGGCCUUACGACGAGGGCUACGUGCUACAAUGGCGCAUACAAAGAGAAGCGACCUCGCGAGGAAACAGCGGACCUCAUAAAGUGCGUCGUAGUCCGGAUUGGAGUCUGCAGCUCGACUCAUGAAGUCGGAGAUACUUAAUGUCGUGGAUCAGAAUGCGAUACGUUCCGGAGCCGCCGAUCGCACCAUGGAGGUGAGUUUGCAAAAGAAAGUGGUAGCUUGAACCUUCGGGAGGCCACUGUGGUCAUGACUGGGGUGAAGUCGUAACAAGGCCAACCGUAGGGGAACCUGCGGUUGAAUCACCUCCCUU